This 600-nucleotide ribosomal RNA is filed under the name uncultured bacterium. Its description in RNAcentral is "bacterial SSU rRNA". It matches the Rfam family "Bacterial small subunit ribosomal RNA", at positions 730 to 1330 of the family's 1533-position model. The record is from RNAcentral.
CAUCACGCCACUGACGCUCAUGCACGAAAGCGUGGGUAUCGAACAGGAUUAGAUACCCUGGUAGUCCACGCGGUAAACGAUGAUAACUAGUUAUCCGGGGCGAUUGGGUCCUGGGUGACCGAGCGAAAGCGUUAAGUUAUCCACCUGGGGAGUACGCCGGCAACGGUGAAACUCAAAGGAAUUGACGGGGGCCCGCACAAGCGGAGGAACAUGUGGUUUAAUUCGAUGAUACGCGAGGAACCUUACCCGGGCUCAAACGCAGUGCGACAGACCCUGAAAGGGGUUUUUCUUCGGACGCAUUGCGAGGUGCUGCAUGGUUGUCGUCAGCUCGUGCCGUGAGGUGUCGGCUUAAGUGCCAUAACGAGCGCAACCCCCAUCUUCAGUUGCCAUCGGUCAAAGCCGGGCACUCUGGAGAGACUGCCGGCGCAAGCUGUGAGGAAGGCGGGGAUGACGUCAAAUCAGCACGGCCCUUACGUCCGGUGCGACACACGUGUGACAAUGGCGUGUGCACAGCGGGAAGCCAGGCGGCGACGCCGAGCUGAUCCCGAAAACCCGUCUCAGUUCGGAUCGGAGUCUGCAACCCGACUCCGUGAAGCUGGA